RNAcentral lists this ribosomal RNA (414 nucleotides) under uncultured bacterium. RNAcentral describes it as "bacterial SSU rRNA". It matches the Rfam family "Bacterial small subunit ribosomal RNA", at positions 505 to 916 of the family's 1533-position model. The record is from RNAcentral.
GUGUCAGCCGCCGCGGUAAUACGUAGGGUGCGAGCGUUAUCCGGAAUUAUUGGGCGUAAAGAGCUCGUAGGCGGUUUGUCGCGUCUGUCGUGAAAGUCCGGGGCUUAACCCCGGAUCUGCGGUGGGUACGGGCAGACUAGAGUGCAGUAGGGGAGACUGGAAUUCCUGGUGUAGCGGUGGAAUGCGCAGAUAUCAGGAGGAACACCGAUGGCGAAGGCAGGUCUCUGGGCUGUAACUGACGCUGAGGAGCGAAAGCAUGGGGAGCGAACAGGAUUAGAUACCCUGGUAGUCCAUGCCGUAAACGUUGGGCACUAGGUGUGGGGAACAUUCCACGUUUUCCGCGCCGUAGCUAACGCAUUAAGUGCCCCGCCUGGGGAGUACGGCCGCAAGGCUAAAACUUAAAGGAAUUGACGG